RNAcentral lists this small RNA (231 nucleotides) under Carlito syrichta (Philippine tarsier). Its description in RNAcentral is "7SK RNA (ENSTSYG00000023937.2)". The stretch from base 1 to 184 matches the Rfam family "7SK RNA". Rfam says of the family: 7SK was discovered as an abundant small nuclear RNA in the mid-70s but a possible function has only recently been suggested. Two independent studies have found that 7SK RNA binds the CDK9/cyclin T complex (known as elongation factor P-TEFb). Lineage: Eukaryota; Metazoa; Chordata; Mammalia; Primates; Tarsiidae. The record is from RNAcentral.
GGAUAUGAGGGCGAUCUGGCUGCAACACCCGUCCUCUUAGUGAUUGCCAGGACUAAUUGGGCUGAUUUGGCUGGCUAGGUGGGUGUCCCCUUCCUCCCUCUCCACUCUAAGUAUUUCACCCCCAAAGUUGUGCACUCGGUCAAAGAGGAUGACCACCCCUACUAAAGGGGGGCCGUUCCUUCUCACUCAUAAGCAGACCUUGAACAAUUAUAAUACUAUAAGAAAGUGAUU